This 102-nucleotide Y RNA is filed under the name Choloepus hoffmanni (Hoffmann's two-fingered sloth). RNAcentral's name for it is "Y RNA (ENSCHOG00000014228.1)". It matches the Rfam family "Y RNA". From Rfam's summary of the family: Y RNAs are components of the Ro ribonucleoprotein particle (Ro RNP), in association with Ro60 and La proteins. The Y RNAs and Ro60 and La proteins are well conserved, but the function of the Ro RNP is not known. Lineage: Eukaryota; Metazoa; Chordata; Mammalia; Pilosa; Megalonychidae. The record is from RNAcentral.
GGCUAGAUUGAGUGCACUGGAAGUUGCAACUAAUUGAUUACAGUCAGUUACAGAGUUCUUUGUUCAUUCUCCACUCCCACUGCUUCACUUGACUAGUCUUAA